CACAGCACACAAGGAAAAGGGGAGCUGGUUAUUUUUCUUUUUCAAUUCAUCACAAUACACACUAGCACCAUUUUCUUCCUCGCACCAUACACGCAGCUACACGUAAAACACACACAUAAACAGUAACAAGCACACACAGCCACCUCCAUCGAUACACCUCACUCACCAGAGUUCGUGCGCACACACCCAUAAAAAUGCAGAAAAGGAGAGAAUCUGGCAGAGAGAUAGAUAAACGGGGAGAGAGGGAGAGAAAAGGGCCAACGGGGCCAAAAUAUUUUCCCGUCUCCUUCGAUUUUUCUCCAGUGUCGAGCUCUUCGGAGCUCCGACAAAAUGCUAUCAGCGACCCAACUCCCUUCCAUUACCAAAAUCGGCGAUCAGUAGCGCUAUUUCACACCUCCGUUCAAGUUUUCCAUUUGGUCGCUUGAUUUGUCGAUCGAGGUUUGUGAGUUAGUCGUGAUUGAGGUUCCGAUUAGUUUUCAAAUUUGUUUCGGGGUCAAAUUCAACACUAAAUGGAGUUUUGUUCAAAGUCGGUUUAAGUCGAGGUUUCGAAUCCGUGAAGCUCCUCUGUUUGAUUGAAUAAAAACGACAUUAAGGUUCAUUCUUCAUCUCAUUCUCAAUUAAUUCUUAAUUUUGUGAUACUUGGCGUGGUAAAUUCAUGGUGUGUGGAUUUUAUUUUGUUUGAUUUAGAUAUGUCUUGGAUCAUCAUGGUUGGUGUUGAUACCCAUCGAUUGAUUGUUGUGAAUUGAAAUAAUCAAAGAACUUAGACUCGAUUUGGGGUUAAAUCGCAAUUUGUGGUGGUAUCGAAAGUUCGCUAAUUAGCAAUUUCACUUGAUUUAUUUAAUUUGUCAUCUUGAUUGAUUUUGAUGUUGUCAAACGUGGUAGUAGCAUGAUAAGUUAGAAGUAAUAGGCAAAUGUAGGUUGGGUAGGCAAAGUUUAGAAUUUGUGGUUUUGUUGAAUGUUUGAAAGUUCGUUGAGUGGUUUGAUUUUCUUGCCCUAAAAAUGUAUUCAUUUAGCCGGAGAAUGCCCCGAGACACAUUAUAUUUAUUCACCAAAAAUGCUCCGACGUAUUAUAUUGGCAAAAAAUGUUCGUGAUGAAGGCCCGAGGCAUCGGGUAAGCAUUGGAGCAUAGUCUAGGAUUAGUCUAGAAUAGGAUUUAUAUUUUCAUAUUUUCUUAUCUUUGGGACUGUAUAAUUCGGACUGGACAUUAUUUCGGUUUUGAAUUUUGUUUGAUUUAUUUGUUUUCCUAUUUCGUGUGUUAUGGGGUUUAUACACUUUAUAAUGUCAAAUUAGCCGAUAUGCUCACCAAGCGACCAUGGUCGAACCACGAGAUCGAGGGGUUCCUAAUACCUUCCCCUCGGUCAACAGAAUUCCUUUACCGGAAUAUUUGUUCGCAAACCAGUUUUAAAGAGUCAAAUUGUUUUGAAAAUAAUUGUACAAAGGUGACUUGGCAUACCGGAUUAUGCCAAGUGGCGACUCUGAGUUUUGAAUGUAAACAUAAUCCUUUUUUGGAACAAAUCUUCAUUUUGUCACUUUAAUAAUAAAUACCCUUUCGAAACUUAAAACGAAUCUUUUUUUGGUUAAAAAAAGAGUGUGACAGCUCUGGCGACUUUGCUAGGGAUUUUUCAGAAUUCGAGCUUAUUUUGGAGUUAUAUCGGCUUAGUUUGGCACUAUAGGUGUAUAGACAUUUUGUUUGUCCUGUUUUGUGUUAUUGUUUAUCAUUGUUGAGUUCCUACGUGCUCUUUGUUUACAGUUUUUACUUUAUGUGUUACCAUUUUAUAUCUGGCAUCAUGUGCAUAACCCGAGUCUUUCUUUCUGCAACAAGUCCGUAGUAUAGGUGUGUACAUGACUUAUAGUUAAGUCACCCUUAUUUUAGGAGGGGGAGCCGUUGGGUUGUAUGGAGUAGGUGGCCAGCUAAAGUAAGUCACUAUCGACCCAAACAGCCUUAUUAGUAAACCCCAACGUAGGUCAGCCUUUAGGUCAUGCUUAUGUGCAUCAUAUGGAGACCUAGCAGGGCCCACUUAGUCCUUCGUAGGAAACUCACCUUUAAAGCAUCCCUACGUGCUAAAUAUUGCAUCUCUGAGGGUAACGUGGUCAUUUGACAGACCAAUUUGGGGAAAGCAUGUGUUAGAAGUAAAGUCUAUAGAUAAGAAAGUGUAGAAAAAAAAAAGAAGGGAAGAAAAGAAAAGUGAGUCGAAAAAAAAAGAGUUUCAUAGUUUUUAAAUUUCUUUAUGGCUUUUUUUUUUCACAAUUCAAAAAUUCAAAAAAAAAAAAGAUUUUUCUUUACCUUUCGCACUCAUUGUCUGAAAAAAAAAAUCAAAAGAAUUUCUUUUGUUCCUUUACCCUGCAUUCAUAAUUCGAAAAUUUCAAAAAGAUUUUUUAAUUGAAGCUUUUAUAAAGAAAAAAAUGUAAAAAAGAUGGUAGGAGCUUUGUACAUCUCAUAUAACGAAAAUACCAAAAAGAUUUCUUUUCUCUUUCAUAGUUGUUGGUGUCAAUUUUGUGUGAAGUAUCUAAUUGAAAAUCCAAAAAGAUUUUAUUUUCAUCGUUCAUCUGUAAUCGUGUUUCUUAAGUCAAGUCUUAGUUUGUUUUAAUCUUUAAUUGUCCAACCUAGACGAACUACGCACCCCUGAUUCUCCUCUCCCGGGAGUGAGAUACGUAGGCAGCCUAUUGUCGAUUCGGGGAUCUUAUUUCAAAAAUUCAAAAAGAUUUUCUUUACUCCUUAUUUAGAGUAGGUGUCAUAUACUUCUUUAAUAGAAAACUGCAAAAAGAUCUUUCUUUAAUAGUUCCAAUUUUCAUUUUCAUAUGAAAUGCAAAAUUGAAAACCCAAAAAGAUUUUCUUUGGUAAUCAUAGGUUUCAUUUCGUAUAGGAAUCUGAAAAAUGCAAAAAGAUUUUAUUCACGUUUCAUUUAGUGUAGGUGUUUCAUAUACAUCUUUAAGAGAAAACUACAAAAAAGAUUUUUCUUUAAUAGGUUCAAGUUUCAUUGUCAUAGGAAAUGCAAAAUUGAAAACCCAAAAAGAUUUUCUUUGGUAAUCACAGAUUUCAUUUUAUAUAGGGGUAUUAAUGCUGGAAAAAAUUCAAAAAAAAAAGAAGAUUUUUGUCAUUUGUUAUUUUAUUUUUUUCUUAAAGUUUCAAGAAAAAAAAAGUUUGAUUAGCCAUUUUAGCUAAACUUCACGAACUACGCACACCUGAUUCUCCCCUUCCGGGGGUGAGAUACGUAGGGGCCUUUUUAGGGUUCGGUGAUCUUUUAAAAAAAAAGGUCUUGAAAAACUGUUGAACUCUAACACAUUUGCUAUCUCUUGUCCAGUUAGUUUAAGGUGGUUGGUUUGUGGCAUUUUGGCUGGUCCUCCAUAUUGCUCCAAGUCACAGAGAAAGUUAUGGCCAACAAAGAUACCGAGUUUGUUGUCACUAAUCAGAUAGGGAGUUCAGGGAAUGAGAAUGUAGGAGCUAAUAAAGAGAUUUGGAAAUUAAGGCAGCAAAUGAUAGAAAUGCAUCGAGCUUGGGCUAAUGGGUUUUCGCCUCCUCCAUUUCCCACUAAUAAUCUGGAAUAUCUUUCUAGUUUGCCUUCAGUGUCACAUGCACAAUUCCCUAUUUUGGUCGACACGCCACAACAUGCAUCAGGACCUACUCCAGGGCAAUAGUAUCCAAACACUUUCAAUACUCAUUUCCUCACUCCUCAAUACAAAAUUACCACAUGCUCGGCUCCGCCUGCUAUUCAUGCUUUUGCAGCCCCACUCCCAUCUGAAUCUCCUAUUUUUAAUGUCAAUCCAACGGUUGUGAUUCCUCACUCUACAAGUGACCCUGUAUUGAAUAUUUUUAGUGAUCAAUAUUAUGCUCCCAAGCCCAUAUUUAAGUCAACUGGUCCUUACAACUACACUCAACCAUCUGAAUUUUUCUUCUAAAACUGAGACGCCUGUUAUGACAGAAGAACAAGAGGGAAUGGCCAAAAAAUUGAGAAGUUUGGAACUGACUAUGAAAAACUUGCAAGGACUUAAGGGGUACAAAAAUGUCUCAUAUAAAGAUCUGUGCAUCUUUCCAGGUGUACAUCUUUCUCUUGGUUUUAAAAUGCCAAAGUUUGAGAAGUAUGAUGGAUAUGGCGAUCCUGUAGCAUAUUUGAGACGCUAUUGCAACCAGCUAAGGGGCGUUGAAGGGAAGGAAGAAUUACUCAUGGCAUAUUUCGGUGAGAGUCUUUCAGGUCUAACUUUAGAAUGGUUUGUUGACCAAGACAUCGAUAAGUGGCACAACUGGGAUGACCUGGCUAAUGAAUUUGUGCAAUAAUUUCAAUACAAUAUGGAGUUGAUUCCUGAUGAGAAGUCCCUGACUAAUAUAAAGAAAAAAAGUACUAAAACCUUCAGAGAGUAUGCGAUUAGAUGACGUGAACAAGCUGCUAGGGUGAAACCGCCAAUGAAAGAAAGUAAGAUAGUGGACGCGUUUAUUCAAGCGCAAGAUGAAACAUAUUAUCAACACUUGCUUUCUGCAUUAGGCAAAAUAUUUAUUAAGGUCCUCAAAAUGGGGGAGAUGAUAGAGGAUGGAAUUAAGACCAGUCGCAUUGUGAGUUUUGCAACAUUGAAAAUGACUACUCAAGCAAUUCAAAAAGGUUUGGGAAGUAUGGGAGGAAAUAAGAAUGAGGAAGAUGCAUUUGCCAUUGUAGUUAGACAACAGGCACAGGCAAGAGGACCACACCAUCAUUACCUAUGGGCUCAAACCCUAGUUUAUGCCCAAGCUCCACAGAAUAUUUCCCAAAAUCCAUUAUAUUCCAUUCCCCGCCUCCAUAACAAGUGUAUAAUGCGCAACCAUAUGUUUAACCCCCAUCUUACCCAUACUGGCGUGUGCCAACUCUGCCGAGUAAUCCUCCAACUCCACAUACAUACCGAAGCCCUUCUAGGCCUGGUUUUCAAUUUAAGCCAAACAAUGAAAUGAGACAGAAGUCGAGGGAUAGUUUCACACUAAUCGGAGAGUCAUAUGCCAUUUUAUUUUAGAGAUUAAUACAACGGGGUAUAAUCACUUCUCUCCUUAGGUAUACUUCUGACCUGCAUUUAAGAAAUUUUAAUCCAUAUGUACAAUGUGCAUAUCAUUCUAAUAUUCAGGGUUACAAUAUUGAAGAUUUAUCAUUCCUUGAAAAGAGAAAUAGAAAAGAUGAUUCAAGAUAAAUCAAUUAUAGUACAGAACGUUGACAGCGAGGAAAGCUCUAGUCAUGCUGAUAUGCAAACCAUUGGCUAAGAUGUCAGGCUGAGCAAUUGAGAAGUCACCCUUCUUCCUACUAGGAAGAGGUCUAGUAGCUUGUUUUGUUUUAUUUUCUAUUGUCCAAAUUAUUUCAGGGUUGUAGUUCAGGAUCUAUCUUGUUUAGUCUUUUUGUCGUUUAUGUUCAAACCCUUCUAUCUUUUGUUUCAACCAAAUGAAAUGUCCUAUUUUUCUUUGUAUUUUAAACAUGUGUUGCUUGUUUGUUUUCUUUACAUAGUAUAUUUUAUGUUGACUCUAGUGAUAUGACAUGCUAGUGAAAUUUUUGGCCAGAUCUUAAAAUCCUGUUUAAGUAUGAACGUGGAAUUAGAGGGCUAAGGUCGAAAGAAACAUCUUAGAAAAUAGAUAGAGUACUUAGACAUUUGGUGACAAGUUGAAGCCUUUUCUAAAAAUUAAGACAAAUAUUUUAGGAAUCAUAAGAAUAACUCAGCCAUCAAUUGAAAGACUUGUCUCAAUUAGGUCAAACAGUGGCUGCGGGAUUCUAUAUCAAGAUGAACAAAAUGAAAUCAGCUCCACAAAAACAUGAAUCAUUCGAUGUGAGGGAUGCAUAACAAAGGUGUUGUUAUAUGCUGGACAAGUAUAAAAGAAGAAGAAGCGGCAUACAUGUUCAGUUUAAGUUAGUGUUGUUAAAGUGUCACACAUGAUCUUUAUCUCCCAUUUUUCAAUUGCAUGUUCUGUACUUGCAUUCUCAAGAAUUGAUAUGAUGAAGGCAUUUCAUUUUUCUAUCCAAAUAUUGUGUCAUCCUUUGUUUACCCCGUUUGAGCCAUAGCAUUAUUUUCUUUCAUACCCCUCUUUUGGAAUCAAGAUAGAGUCAGCAAAGUUCAAGAAAAAGUGUCGAGUGAAAAAAUAGAGUCAAAAAAAUUUUAGAAAAAAAAAAGAAAAGAAGAAGAAAAUAUGAUAAAAAGAAAGUAAAGAGAAGAGUGUCCAGAAAAAUAGAGUCAGAAAGUUUCAAAGAGAAAAAGAGUCAAUAAAAGAGAAAAAGAAGAAGUCAGAAUCAAGCAAAAGAACAAGCUGCCAGAACUGACCUGAUUCUCCUCUUUUGGGGGUGAGAUACGUAGGCUGCCCUACUCUGGGCUCGGUCCAACCAAAUAAACAAUUUAGUAUUGCCCAGUCAAAAGAAACUAGGGCAUGAGUUAAUCCUCAUUGUUUGAGUCAAUUCCAAAAGUUGUAAGUCCUACCCCACAUCAAGUGUUGUUUGGGUGUCAUGUCAUCCUUUCUUUCUGACCUUAUCCAAAAGCCAAGUUACAACCAAAGAAAGACCUUCAGAUCAAUCUCUGAGAAUGCUAAGGCUAAGCAUGCAAUGGAUAUGAUGACAUAUUUUCUUCCUCAGCAUAAGAAAUCAGGAGAGAAAUAAAAAUAAGAGAGUCUUAUUGGUGAAAACCCUUAAGGGCACCAUAAGACAAUAGUAAGUUGAGAGAGAUAAAAAUGAGUGAGUCUUAUUGGUAAAAACCCCACGGGUACCAUAAGGAGAUGGUGACUUGAGAGAAAAAUGAGAGAGGCUUGUUGGCAAAAAUCCUUCAAUGUGCCACUAAUGAAUGAGCUCUUCGAAUGCAACAGGUCCAAGCAAGUAACUUAGUUUCAGAGCCAUUAACUCAAGAAUAAUUAGUAUAAAGUUUGGAUGGAAAGAUCAGGCAACUUGAUCCAAAAUGCAUGGCAUAAUCAUUAGAGUUGACUGUCAUUUCUAGAUAAAUUUUUCAUUUCUUUAUUUCAAAUGGGGACAUUCAUUGUCUUUUCUUUCUUCUCUUUAUUUUUUAUUUUCUUUAGUCAGUUGUACAAAUAACAAAUCAUUGUUAUUUUUUCUCUUGUCUUUGAGUCAAGUCCAUGUCAAAACAAGUGAGAAAUAUUUCAAAACUGGCUACCAGUUUCUUCAAUUGCGCAAAGCAAGACAAAAGGCCAACACAUAAAAGAGACAUAAUUGCGAUCCAAAAUAAGACAUGCAGAAAGUUUUGUCAACCGACAAGUCUAGGAACUCAUGGAAAUACCAAGGUUCAAAGGGUUUAUCUGAGAACCAGGACAAAGCAAAGAUAUUGUAUCUGUUUCAGAGUCACUCUUAAUAAUCUGAGUUCGGGUCUAUGAUGCAGCGAGCCAGUAACACAUGCUAAUGGUUGAAAGCAAGAUUAAAUGUGACAGGGGCAAGAGCGAUUUUCACGAAAUCCAAAUCCACAAACCAGCCACCAUGUUUUUAAACUAACAAGUUUUCUUUGUAUGAAACAGGAACACAUGCUACCUUCGAAUCAAGGAUUUCAAAGCCUAAACAUCAAAGGCCGUAAUAUUCUCACUUCUACAAAUGCAGGAGGCAAUGUUGUUGCACAUAUUUGGUAUUCAAAACCAUGGUAAAACUUAUAAUACAAUAUCUCUAGGAGAUACACUUCCUUAUUUGGGUAAUUCAAGCAACAUUUGUAAGGAAAGGCACUUCCUUGUUUGGGUAAAGCAAUAUUUGUAAGAGGACGCACUUCCUUAUUUGGGUAAUUCAAGCAACAUUUGUAAGGAGAUGCACUUCCUUGUUUAGGUAAUUCAAGUGACAUUUGUUAGGAGAUGAACUUCCCUGUUUGGGCAAUUCAAGCAGCAUUUAUGAGGAGAUGUAUUUUCUUAUUUGGGGCAAUUCAAGUGACAUUUGUGAGGAGACGCACUUCCUUGUUUGGGUAAUUCAAGCGAUAUUGGUGAGGAGACAUACUUCCUUGGUUGGAUAAUUCAAGAAACAUUUGUAAGGGGACGCAUUUCCUUAUUUGGGUAAUUCAAGCAACAUUUGUAAGGAGAUGCACUUAUUUGUGUAGGUAAUUAAAGCGACAUUGGUAAGGAGAUACAUUUUCUUGUUUGGGUAAUUCAAGAGACAUUUGUUAAGAGACACACUUCCUUGUUUUGAUAAUUCAAGCGGCAUUGGUAAGGAGAUGUACUUCCUUGUUUGGUAAUUCAAGCAGUAUCAUAAAGAGACGUACUUCCUUGUUUAGGUAAUUCAAGCGGCAUUGGUAAGGAGAUGCACUUCCUUGUUUUGGUAAUUCAAGCGGCAUUUGUGAGGAGACGCACUUCCUUGUUCAGUAAUCCAAGCAACAUUUGUAAGGAGAUGUACUUCCUUAUUUGGGUAACUCAAUCAACAUUGGUAAGGAGACGCACUUCCUUAUUUGGGUAAUUCAAGCAUUUAUAAGGAGAUGCACUUCCUUGUGUGGGAAAUUCAAGCAACAUUUGUAGGGAGAUGCACUUCCUUGUUUGGGUAAUUCAAGCAUUUCUAAGAAGACUCAUUUCCUUGGGUAAUUCAAGUAGCAUUUGUUGGGAGACACACUUCCUUUUCAGUUUUCAUUUGUCAGGAGCCCGCCAAAGAACACGGCGAAUACAUAAAACCAAGCAGCAAGUUAAAGAAAUUGCAAGUCAGGAGCCCAUCUGAAGAACAGGGUGAUGAAACUCAAGUCAAGAGUCUAGAGAAGCUGUAUAGAUAGGAUUUUAUAAUUUUAUUUAUAUUUUUAACUUGUAAUUUUUAUUUUUUAUGUAAUAACAGAUCCGCGAACCAGAGCCUCGACGGGACCUCACUCGACUCUUCAACUCGGUUGUCCUUCUUUCUUUUCUUUCUUCCUUGUGAUUAAUAGUCGAGUCAAAAUUCUGUCUCGUUGUCUACUUCUUUGUAUGAAAACACUUUGUGUUUACAUGCAAAGAGGGGCAUGAUGUAGACACGUAAUUUUAUCCUCCCCAAAAAUAUUUUUUACCACUUUAUCCCCGUCUUAUUGCAUGCCCUCACCCAUGUGAUUAUAUCCCACAAAAAUACAAAAAAUAACAACUCUUAACAAAAUCCCUAACAAUUUUUAUUUUGUUUUAAACACCCUAACAACCUCUCCAAUUAAAAAAGAAUACCUCACACCUCACCACCCAAUACCCUACCUCACCCCUACCUUACGUGACCUCACCCCACCUCACAAUUCACACACGGUGAGCCUUCCAGGAAAUUUUCACACACAUACUCACUAUUACAUACAUCCAUAGCAUAUAAAGAAAAGGGGGAGCUGGUCAUUUUUAUUUUUCAAUUCAUCACAAUACACACUGGCACUAUUUUCUUCCUCGCAACACACACAUAGCUACACGUAAAUCACAUAUAUAAACAGUAACAAGCACACACAGCCAUCUCCAUCAAUACACCUUACUCAUCGGAGUUCGUGCGCACACACCCAUAAAAACGCUGAAAAUAAGAGAAUCUAGCAGAGAGAUAGAUAAACGGGGAGAGAGGGAGAGAAAAGAGCCAACGGGGCCUAAAAAUUUUCCCAUCUCCUUCGAUUUUCUUCCAGUGCCGAGCUUGUUGGAGCUCCGGAUAAAUGCUAGCAGUGACCCAACUCCCUUCCAUCACCAAAAUCAGCGACUAGUAGCGCUAUUUCACACCUCCGUUCAAGUUUUUCGUUUGAUCGCUUGAUUUGUCGAUCGAGGUUUGCGAGUUAGUCGUGAUUGAGGUUCCGAUUAGUUUCCAAAUCUGUUUCGGGGUCAAAUUCAACACCAAAUGGGGUUUUGUUCAAAGUUGAUUUAAGUCGAGGUUCUGAAUACGUGAAGCUCCUCCGUUUGAUUGAAUAAAAGCGACACUAAGGACCAUUCUUCAUCUCAUUCUCAAUUAAUUCUUAAUUUUGUGAUACUUGGCGUGGUAAAUUCAUGGUGUGUGGAUUUUAUUUUAUUUGAUUUCGAUAUGUCUUGGAUCAUCGUAGUUAGUUGUUGAUACCCAUUGAUUGAUUGUUGUGAAUUGAAAUAAUCAAAGAACUUAGACUCGAUUUGGGGUUAAAUUGCAAUUUGGGGU
RNAcentral lists this long non-coding RNA (9995 nucleotides) under Capsicum annuum. RNAcentral's name for it is "long non-coding RNA (CANN_LNC005263)". The record is from RNAcentral. Lineage: Eukaryota; Viridiplantae; Streptophyta; Magnoliopsida; Solanales; Solanaceae.